GAUGAACGCUGGCGGCGUGCCUAAUACAUGCAAGUCGAGCGAACAGACGAGGAGCUUGCUCCUCUGACGUUAGCGGUGGACGGGUGAGUAACACGUGGAUAACCUACCUAUAAGACUGGGAUAACUUCGGGAAACCGGAGCUAAUACCGGAUAAUAUAUUGAACCGCAUGGUUCAAUAGUGAAAGACGGUUUUGCUGUCACUUAUAGAUGGAUCCGCGCCGCAUUAGCUAGUUGGUAAGGUAACGGCUUACCAAGGCAACGAUGCGUAGCCGACCUGAGAGGGUGAUCGGCCACACUGGAACUGAGACACGGUCCAGACUCCUACGGGAGGCAGCAGUAGGGAAUCUUCCGCAAUGGGCGAAAGCCUGACGGAGCAACGCCGCGUGAGUGAUGAAGGUCUUCGGAUCGUAAAACUCUGUUAUUAGGGAAGAACAAAUGUGUAAGUAACUAUGCACGUCUUGACGGUACCUAAUCAGAAAGCCACGGCUAACUACGUG
RNAcentral lists this ribosomal RNA (497 nucleotides) under uncultured bacterium. Its description in RNAcentral is "partial 16S ribosomal RNA". It matches the Rfam family "Bacterial small subunit ribosomal RNA", at positions 28 to 507 of the family's 1533-position model. The record is from RNAcentral.